CAGCCGCCGCGGUAAUACGUAGGUGGCAAGCGUUGUCCGGAAUUAUUGGGCGUAAAGCGCGCGCAGGCGGUCCCUUAAGUCUGAUGUGAAAGCCCACGGCUCAACCGUGGAGGGUCAUUGGAAACUGGGGGACUUGAGUGCAGAAGAGGAAAGUGGAAUUCCACGUGUAGCGGUGAAAUGCGUAGAGAUGUGGAGGAACACCAGUGGCGAAGGCGACUUUCUGGUCUGUAACUGACGCUGAGGCGCGAAAGCGUGGGGAGCAAACAGGAUUAGAUACCCUGGUAGUCCACGCCGUAAACGAUGAGUGCUAAGUGUUAGGGGGUUUCCGCCCCUUAGUGCUGCAGCUAACGCAUUAAGCACUCCGCCUGGGGAGUACGGCCGCAAGGCUGAAACUUAAAGGAAUUGGCGGG
This 410-nucleotide ribosomal RNA is filed under the name uncultured microorganism. RNAcentral describes it as "bacterial SSU rRNA". It matches the Rfam family "Bacterial small subunit ribosomal RNA", at positions 509 to 917 of the family's 1533-position model. The record is from RNAcentral.